CUACCCGAUCUGCGGUGCCUACCCGAUUUGCGCACGCAUGCGCAAAGCUUUAGUAUUACGACCCUGCCCGAUCUGCGUUUUUCUACUUCACGACACGAGUCCCCAUCCGAUUUGUCUCGCGCACGUGCUCUCUGCUUAAUUAAAAUUCAUUUCACGACACUGCCCGAUUUGUUCUGCGCAUGUCUAAUAUUUUACAACACACGUCACUCGUCAGGUUUGAAUUGCACUUGCGAGUCAUUUUUGUGUAGACGUUUAUCUCCGUCUGUAAGUGGACUUCUUACUGGAAAAGAUGAUAACUUCUGAAUUUUAUAACGUCUUGGAAGAAUAUGUGUCGCCUGAAAAUUUUAACUCCAUUCGAAUGAAGAGGGAGCGAAAUGAAAUGCGACGUAUGUCUGUGAACUUUAUAAUGGAUACGUAUAGCUUUUUGAUGCCCAGUGGUAACCAGCCUUCCAAGUGGCUGAACAGAUGCCAGUGUACCUGAAUUCUGAGACACAACUGGAUGUCCUUUUCUUCUGCUUUUAAGAUUCCCAAUUCAAGAUGAUGUGCUAUUUCUACAGGUAAGACUACUGAUGCUUUUAGUUUCAAAAGUAAUUUGUGCACAAUUCCCACAAAGCCUCCCCAUAUUUAUUACUUGAUCUGUAAUAUUUUGUUGCCUUGAAUACUGUACUGUAUGUCUGCUCACUCUGUCCAGUGACUAACACGGCUUUUUAAUUUUAGACAGGAAAGCCUCAGAGUGUGAAUCCUCACAAACACAGAGACUGAGGAGCAUCAGUCCCAGUAGUCACUAAACAGGGAUAUUAUUCUGUUUUGCAAAAUAACAUUUAUUUUCUUAAGUUACUGUGCUUUUGUUGUUGGAUUUUGAAAGAGCCGAGACUUAAUUUUAACUUAAAACAAAACUAAGGUAGGAGAGAAAAAUGAAGAUGUUUUCAUGUAAGUAAUGCCACCUGAGCACGUCACAUUAGAAGUUCAGAUAUACAGAGAUUGUAACACAAUGUCUACUGUAUGCAUAAUGUAAAAGAAAAAAAAAUGAUGCUACAUAUAAUGACAAUUAAGUUGGAGUUCUUUCAACAUCCAACAAAAAACCACAGUAAUUUAAAAAAAUAUUAUUAGUCAGACUUUACUCUAAGCAGAACUUUAUCUAUUGUGAUGGUUUACUUUGGUAAUAAUUGAUCUGCAGGAGUACCAAGGAAGGAGGCAGAACAAGAAGUAAGGGUACACUUUAUUAAUGUUUGAACUCCAUGAGUGAACAUCUACUGUGUUUAUGUUUUUAACAGUUACAGUGAAGUAGAAGAGUCCGGCCGUGUUAUUGGGCAGCAGUUAAAGAAGAAGGAAGGAGAGAUGUGUGCCAUGUUGAAGUAGCAGCUGGCCCUCCUGCCUGGCACUUCUAGAAUCCUCCAUCUAAAUCUCUGCUCUGAUCUGCUGUGCCUUUGCCAAGUGAUCACGAGUUUAUUGCAAUGGUGCCCCCCUGCGUCUCCACCUUCUGUUAGAUCAACUCCAACUGCCUGUGAUAGAAGAAAAGUUCACAAGACGUCCUGAAAUGGAAUUGUGAUUAGAGUGAGACGGCCACAAUUAUGUAUGCUGGGAUGUGCAGAGGGGGCUGUGUAGGCUUUGGCUUGGGACCCCCAGAGGUUUAUUAUCUCUGGCAACUUUGAAGGCUGCAAGUUUGUCUUUGUCCCCGGCCAUUUGACAAGGCAGUGUAUUAAUUACAAAGGACAAGGACCCCUCCAUUUGCUUCAUAUUUACUUUUAUAAUACCUUCAAUUUUCUUUGUAACUGUAUAUUUUUGUAGAGCAAAUUGAGCUACACUUGUAAGCAAAGGUAAUAUAAAAAUAUUAUUAGUGAACAAAUGUUAAGGGACAGAUCAGGAAA
Erpetoichthys calabaricus (reedfish) is the source of this 1868-nucleotide long non-coding RNA. RefSeq lists it as uncharacterized. The transcript is spliced from 3 exons. The record is from RefSeq and is a predicted model, not a curated record. NCBI's taxonomy places the organism in Eukaryota, Metazoa, Chordata, Cladistia, Polypteriformes, Polypteridae.